CAGAUGAUCACAUGCGUCUUCAUCGCUGCUCGCCAUCGCCGGCCACCGGGGUUGCCGCUGAUGCGAUUCGAUCCAGUGGGAACUUUUGUCACCUUGCCUCUUCUCUCUUUCCUAACACUCAAAUCUCUCCUCAGCCUUCAGAUAGAUAGUCUUUGAAGCAAACCAAAGGUGAAAACUGUUCUGCAGUUGGUGAUGACAAGAAGAAUCACAAGCUUUUGACUUAUGUUUGAGAAUCAUCAUGGGACAAGGCUUCCGCAAUCGAAAUGGGACUUUUUCAGCAGCAUCCUAGAAAGACUCUUUGCCUUUAUCGCUUCACCUAGACAACGAGCAAGGAUAACUCCAUCCUCCAUGGCUGAGCAACCUCCUUGUCCGAUAUCAGGAGUCAUUGGGUGAAGUGCAUCUCCUGCAACGCACACGUUGUCUUUUGUGAUGUUUGACCAUAGCAGUUCCCAUGGAGGUCGGUACUUCAGUUGAGACAUCACCAUGCUAUCAAGAUCAGUGGUCUCCACCACAUUCUUAAUGUUUUCAGGCAAGUCUUUGAUCUUGUUCAGCACAAACUCUUUGAGGAUUUCCGAAUUUGUCUCCUCAUCUAACAAGCGCAAGGAGAAGAGUCAAAGACAGUAGUAUGAUAUGAACAAGAAGCUGCUUGUAGUUAGAUAUUAGAUAUCAGGUAAAGUUGCAUAUCUUCACCUAUAUCAGUGGAGGUGUGGGUUAGGAACCAGUAGACAGUGUUGUGGUCACAUGGGAUAAAACCGGAACGAACGCCGUCUCCAUAAAACUGGAAGAACCUUUUCCCAAAUCCAUGGCCUUCCGGAAAAUGUGUGAGCCCUCGGAUUGCUAACCGGGCAGUUGUAGCGGGAUUUUUGAAGCCUAGCCACUUACCAACCACUGAGUACACUCCAUCGCACCCUACCAAAACCUGCAUUUCGUUUAGAAACCCUACAAUUCCGUAGCAAGACCAGGCCUCACAUGGUUUACAGAGGACAAGUAGUUAUUUACCUUGGUUUUGAGAAUGGUCCCGUCGGAGAGAUGAACCUUCUUGUAGCAUCCAGACAAUUCAAUAUGAACAACCUUAGACGAAAACCUGAUGGUCUCUUCAGGCAACUCACCUGCUAGAGCCUCUAACAACAGCUUCCUCUAGAAGAAGAAACAUACUCGGAUUCUGGAAACAGCAUCUCUGUGGGAGGAGUUCCUGCAGAAAUUGUUCCAACCACCCAUCUGCAGCAAAAUCAAAGAUGAGUCCCCUUUUUUACUGAGCUGAUUAUAUAUGAAUAGUAAUAAUAGUGUUAGUUUGAUACCCUUCAAGGCGAUCAUGGAGACUGCGAAUAUGCUGAGAAACGCCGAGAGCUUCCAUGGCCUUCCAAGCAUUGAACCAAGUGGUAAAUGCAAAUCCUGUCGCUCUCAGUGUCUCCGAAGAUUCCAGCACCAUGCUUCUGAUCCCAAGCCUGUGACACACACCACUUUAGUUAACUUACUCUGCUUAAUAACAACUCAAAAGGCACGCCACACACACCUGUGUAGUCCAACAGCGGUGGAAAGGCCGGAGAUACCGGCGCCAACGAUGAUGAUAUCUGGGCUGCCUUCUUCUUCCAUGGUGCGUUGAUGAUCUUAGAAAGAAAGCUCUGUUUUUCUUCCUCUCUAGUAUUUAUUUUUAACUUUCAAGUAAACAAAAAGAAAUGUGGUUGAAGUUGGCAAGUCAAACAAGGCACCCCGUUCUAGGCAGGCGGCUACAGUCAUCAAAUAUCGAAUCUUUAAUAGUAUUUAUAUGUUGUCACACUUUAUCCCGUUCUAGCUAGGGCGCAAAUAAUUGUACAUUAUAAAUUUAUAAACGUGCAAACAGAGAUACAC
This is a long non-coding RNA of Arabidopsis thaliana (thale cress), 1848 nucleotides long. RefSeq annotates it as other RNA. The transcript is spliced from 4 exons. Lineage: Eukaryota; Viridiplantae; Streptophyta; Magnoliopsida; Brassicales; Brassicaceae. The record is from RefSeq.